Molecule: long non-coding RNA, 343 nt
Filed under: Homo sapiens (human)
Lineage: Eukaryota; Metazoa; Chordata; Mammalia; Primates; Hominidae
Description: HSALNT0296392
Source: RNAcentral
CUUUCUCCCUGACACCAUGUGAAGAAGGUCCUUGGUUCCCGUUCACUUUCCAUCAUGAUUGUAAGUUUCCUGAGGCCUCCCUAACUGUGCAGAACUCAGUUUGACUUACAAUGUGGAAUUUCUGGAAUUCUGGGACCUGUGAGUUACUGUUCUUCAUUAACUUUGGAAAAUUCUUGGCCAUUAUCUCUACUGAUACAUUUUUUUCUUUCUUUUUAUUUUAUUAUUAUUAUUUUUUUUUGAGAUGGAGUCUCACUCUAUUGGCAGGCUGGAGUGCAGUGGUGCAAUCUCGGCUCACUGCAACCUCUGCCUCCCGGAUUCAAGCAAUUCUCCUGCCUCAGGCUCC